This 497-nucleotide ribosomal RNA is filed under the name uncultured bacterium. Its description in RNAcentral is "partial 16S ribosomal RNA". It matches the Rfam family "Bacterial small subunit ribosomal RNA", at positions 28 to 507 of the family's 1533-position model. The record is from RNAcentral.
GAUGAACGCUGGCGGCGUGCCUAAUACAUGCAAGUCGAGUGAACAGACGAGGAGCUUGCUCCUCUGACGUUAGCGGCGGACGGGUGAGUAACACGUGGAUAACCUACCUAUAAGACUGGGAUAACUUCGGGAAACCGGAGCUAAUACCGGAUAAUAUAUUGAACCGCAUGGUUCAAUAGUGAAAGACGGUUUUGCUGUCACUUAUAGAUGGAUCCGCGCCGCAUUAGCUAGUUGGUAAGGUAACGGCUUACCAAGGCAACGAUGCGUAGCCGACCUGAGAGGGUGAUCGGCCACACUGGUACUGAGACACGGUCCAGACUCCUACGGGAGGCAGCAGUAGGGAAUCUUCCGCAAUGGGCGAAAGCCUGACGGAGCAACGCCGCGUGAGUGAUGAAGGUCUUCGGAUCGUAUAACUCUGUUAUUAGGGAAGAACAAAUGUGUAAGUAACUAUGCACGUCUUGACGGUACCUAAUCAGAAAGCCACGGCUAACUACGUG